AGUACUGGGAGGGGCGUGAGGACAGCCUGGGGCAGUUGGUGGCCUCCCCAUGCCCGUUAGGGCAGAGCUGCCGGCUUGAGGAGGACGCUGCUGAGCCCAGGGAUUGAGAGCGCUGGUUCCUGCUGUGGUCCCGGAGCUCCACCUGAGACAGGAGGGAAGCCGUCUGCCCACAGAGGAUAAGAACCGCCAGUUGCAGGAGCGCCUGGAGCUGGUGGAGAAGCUGCAGCAGACGCUGCGGAGGGUGGAGACGCUGCCCAAGGUGGAGGCCAAGCUGGCGCAGAAGGUGGCCGCGCUCUCCAAGGCGGGAGAGACACACAACAUCGAGGAGAGGCUGCGCCAGAUGGAGCCCCAACUGGAGGAGAACAAGGAGCUGCAGCGGGUCGUGUGCUGACGGGGAGGCAGCGUCUGGGUGGGAGAUGUGGCUUGGGCGGGGGCCAGCGAUGCCUUUCUCCACCACUCCCGUCUCUGCCACCGACUGUGUGCGUGUGUGGGCCCAUCUGCUGAUCCGGGCACCCACCUCCUUGGGAGCAGGGCCAGAGGUGGUCGCCCAUAGGCCGUGGGCAGGGGCCAGGGCAUCCCCACGUUCAAAGAGGCUGCUUAUUGCUCUGACCAGCCAGUCCGGGGAGCUGCUUGGGAUACAGGUGGACCUCACGACUGCCCCUCAAACAAAUCCGAGGGUGUCAGCCCGGGGCCCAUGAAACUGAAGGCAUGGUUCCCAGGUAUGGAGCCUGCUUGCCUCGGACGUGGCGCUGGAGUCCCACAUGCCAAACUGCUGGUCCAGACACGGUGUGUGUGUAGGAUGGCUGCUCCUAGGCAGGAGGAGAACCGUAGUUGCACUGCAACAGAAGGUACGUCAGGAAAGGAUGAUGGUGGAGGCUCGCAUCACCGAGUCCUGAGAGAGGUUUCCUGGAAGGGUUGGCCACACGGCGAUACAGACCAUCCAGGAAAUGGAGUGGGGAUCCCGGGUCCAGCCUCACGUGUCAGUACUGUCCCCACCAUGCAUGUGUUCUUGGGCCUGGACUGCAGAGCCUCACAGGCGGGGUCCCAGGGGGCAGUGGUUCUGACUCCCAUUGUGAGACCUGUGGUGAGGCGCCCUCCCCGCUUAGGCAGAGAGCUCAAUGUCUCCCGAUCAGGGGUGCACUUCCUUACUUUCAGAACUGCUGCUCAGAGGCUGUUGAGAUCGGGAUGCUGUUUAUGACUAAGCCAAUUCAAAGUAAACUUUUGUUUUGAUUUAAAAA
This is a long non-coding RNA of Bubalus bubalis (water buffalo), 1238 nucleotides long. RefSeq lists it as uncharacterized. NCBI's taxonomy places the organism in Eukaryota, Metazoa, Chordata, Mammalia, Artiodactyla, Bovidae. The record is from RefSeq and is a predicted model, not a curated record. The transcript is spliced from 3 exons.